Molecule: ribosomal RNA, 468 nt
Filed under: uncultured bacterium
Lineage: Bacteria
Description: partial 16S ribosomal RNA
Rfam family: Bacterial small subunit ribosomal RNA
Source: RNAcentral
GACGAACGCUGGCGGCGUGCUUAACACAUGCAAGUCGAACGGAAAGGCCCUGCUUUUGUGGGGUGCUCGAGUGGCGAACGGGUGAGUAACACGUGAGUAACCUGCCCUUGACUUUGGGAUAACUUCAGGAAACUGGGGCUAAUACCGGAUAGGAGCUCCUGCUGCAUGGUGGGGGUUGGAAAGUUUCGGCGGUAGGGGAUGGACUCGCGGCUUAUCAGCUUGUUGGUUGGGUAGUGGCUUACCAAGGCUUUGACGGGUAGCCUGCCUGAGAGGGUGGACGGUCACAUUGGGACUACGGUACGGCCCAGAGUCCUACGGGAGGCAGCAGUGGGGAAUAUUGCACAAUGGGAGGAAGCCUGAUGCAGCAACGCCGCGUGCGGGAUGACGGCCUUCGGGUUGUAAACCGCUUUCGCCUGUGACGAAGCGUGAGUGACGGUAAUGGGUAAAGAAGCACCGGCUAACUACGUG